UACAGAGGUCUCAAGCGUUGUUCGGAUUCAUUGGGCGUAAAGGGUGCGUAGGUGGCGGGGUAAGUCAGGUGUGAAAUCUCGGGGCUCAACCCCGAAACUGCACUUGAUACUGCCUUGCUCGAGUACUGGAGAGGAGAUUGGAAUUUACGGUGUAGCAGUGAAAUGCGUAGAUAUCGUAAGGAAGACCAGUGGCGAAGGCGAGUCUCUGGACAUUUCCUGACGCUGAGGCACGAAAGCCAGGGGAGCAAACGGG
This 253-nucleotide ribosomal RNA is filed under the name uncultured bacterium. RNAcentral describes it as "partial 16S ribosomal RNA". It matches the Rfam family "Bacterial small subunit ribosomal RNA", at positions 524 to 776 of the family's 1533-position model. The record is from RNAcentral.